RNAcentral lists this ribosomal RNA (367 nucleotides) under Listeria monocytogenes. RNAcentral's name for it is "bacterial LSU rRNA". It matches the Rfam family "Bacterial large subunit ribosomal RNA", at positions 808 to 1172 of the family's 2925-position model. Lineage: Bacteria; Bacillati; Bacillota; Bacilli; Caryophanales; Listeriaceae. The record is from RNAcentral.
GGUGUGGGUAGCGGAGAAAUUCCAAUCGAACUUGGUGAUAGCUGGUUCUUUCCGAAAUAGCUUUAGGGCUAGCCUCGAGGUAUAGAGUCAUGGAGGUAGAGCACUGUUUGGACCAGGGGCCCUUCUCGGUUUACCGAAUUCAGAUAAACUCCGAAUGCCAUGUACUUAUACUCGGCAGUCAGACUGCGAGUGACAAGAUCCAAAGUAGCAAGGUAAACAGCCCAGCCAAUCAGCUAAUGCCCCCAAAUCUUAGUUAAGUGGAAAAGGGUGCGGGGCUGCUUAGACAACCAGGAUGUUGUCUUAGAAGCAGCCACCAUUGAAAGUGUGCGCAAUAGUUCACUGGUCGAGUGACCCCGCGCCGAAAAUG